GAUGAACGCUGGCUACAGGCUUAACACAUGCAAGUCGAGGGGAAACGACGGGGAGGCUUGCUUCCCCGGGCGUCGACCGGCGCACGGGUGAGUAACGCGUAUCCAACCUGCCUCUGACUGAGGGAUAACCCGUCGAAAGUCGGCCUAAUACCUCAUGGCAUCGUCUGCGGGCAUCCAACGACGAUUAAAGAUUUCAUCGGUCAGAGAUGGGGAUGCGUCUGAUUAGCUUGUUGGCGGGGUAACGGCCCCCCAAGGCGACGAUCAGUAGGGGUUCUGAGAGGAAGGUCCCCCACAUUGGAACUGAGACACGGUCCAAACUCCUACGGGAGGCAGCAGUGAGGAAUAUUGGUCAAUGGGCGAGAGCCUGAACCAGCCAAGUAGCGUGCAGGAUGACGGCCCUAUGGGUUGUAAACUGCUUUUAUGCGGGGAUAAAGUGAGGGACGUGUCCUUCAUUGCAGGUACCGCAUGAAUAAGGACCGGCUAAUUCCGUG
RNAcentral lists this ribosomal RNA (491 nucleotides) under uncultured bacterium. Its description in RNAcentral is "partial 16S ribosomal RNA". It matches the Rfam family "Bacterial small subunit ribosomal RNA", at positions 28 to 507 of the family's 1533-position model. The record is from RNAcentral.